UGCAAGCAUGACUGUAAAUCGCUUUGGAUAAAAGUGUCUGCUAAAUGGCAUACA
Non-coding RNA from Salmo salar (Atlantic salmon), 54 nucleotides. Lineage: Eukaryota; Metazoa; Chordata; Actinopteri; Salmoniformes; Salmonidae. The record is from Rfam.